UACGUAGGGGGCAAGCGUUGUCCGGAUUUAUUGGGCGUAAAGAGCUCGUAGGCGGUUUGUCGCGUCUGCCGUGAAAGUCCGGGGCUCAACUCCGGAUCUGCGGUGGGUACGGGCAGACUAGAGUGAUGUAGGGGAGACUGGAAUUCCUGGUGUAGCGGUGAAAUGCGCAGAUAUCAGGAAGAACACCCGUGGCGAAGGCGGUUCUCUGGGACGGUACUGACGCUGAGACGCGAAAGCGUGGGGAGCGAACAGG
Molecule: ribosomal RNA, 253 nt
Filed under: uncultured bacterium
Lineage: Bacteria
Description: partial 16S ribosomal RNA
Rfam family: Bacterial small subunit ribosomal RNA
Source: RNAcentral